AGUAAUGGAUGAGGCGCAAAAAUCAUCAGUACCUUAUUACGUAAAGCUGCAAGUUGUAAUAAGUGAAAGGGAGAUUUGCCGAAACGAUGUUCUAUAUGCAGAUGGAACUUCGUUGGACUGUAUAUCAAUAGUAUGCAGGCUGUCAUUAUUCUUUGUAAUAAUGGUGUGCUUCCACUUGU
RNAcentral lists this non-coding RNA (179 nucleotides) under Virgibacillus necropolis. RNAcentral describes it as "Lysine sequence". It matches the Rfam family "Lysine riboswitch aptamer". From Rfam's summary of the family: Riboswitches are metabolite binding domains within certain messenger RNAs that serve as precision sensors for their corresponding targets. The record is from Rfam by way of RNAcentral. Lineage: Bacteria; Bacillati; Bacillota; Bacilli; Caryophanales; Bacillaceae.